AGCUCCGGUGGCUUGGUGGUUAGAGCAUACGCCUCGGAUGCGGAAGGUUGUGGGUUCGAUCCCCAGUCGAGUCA
Non-coding RNA from Potamilus streckersoni, 74 nucleotides. The record is from the annotation of a GenBank genome assembly. NCBI's taxonomy places the organism in Eukaryota, Metazoa, Mollusca, Bivalvia, Unionida, Unionidae.